AACGGCCCCGGCCGGCUGGGACGGCUGGCUUCGCGCUGCAGGUUCCACUCACGCCUGGUCGGUUGGCGGUGGCGGUUGUGGGGCGGGGGGCAGCUGGACAUGGAGCAGCCGUGGCCGCCGCCUGGACCUUGGAGCCUCCCUCGGGCCGAGGGUGAGGCUGAGGAAGAGAAUGACUUGGAUGUGUCCCCCGGUUCUCCCCGCUGCCCGCAGCUGCCGGAUGGCGGCACCCAGAUAUAUAGCCAUGGAAUUGAACUGGCUUGCCAAAAGCAAAAAGAGUUUGUGAAGAGUUCUGUGGCGUGCAAAUGGAAUCUCGCUGAAGCUCAGCAGAAACUUGGUAGCUUAGCACUGCAUAACUCUGAGUCCUUGGAUCAGGAACAUGCCAAAGCACAAAUAGCAGUAUCAGAACUGAGGCAACGGGAAGAAGAAUGGCGGCAGAAAGAAGAAGCUCUAGUACAGAGAGAGAGAAUGUGUCUGUGGAACAUGGAUGCCAUUAGCAAGGAUGUUUUUAAUAAGAGUUUUAUUAAUCAAGAUAAAAGAAAAGAUACAGAAGAUGAAGAUAAAUCAAAAUCAUUCAUGCAGAAAUAUGAGCAAAAAAUCAGACAUUUUGGUAUGUUGAGUCGAUGGGAUGAUAGUCAGAGAUUUCUGUCUGACCACCCCUACCUUGUAUGUGAAGAAACUGCUAAAUAUCUUAUUUUAUGGUGUUUUCAUCUAGAAGCGGAACAGAAAGGGGCUCUAAUGGAACAAAUAGCACAUCAAGCUGUUGUAAUGCAGUUUAUUAUGGAAAUGGCCAAAAACUGUAAUGUGGAUCCAAGAGGGUGUUUUCGUUUAUUUUUCCAGAAAGCCAAAGCAGAGGAAGAAGGUUAUUUUGAAGCAUUCAAAAAUGAACUCGAAGCUUUCAAGUCAAGAGUCAGACUUUAUUCUCAGUCACCUAGUUUUCACCCUUUGGCAGUUCAGAAUCAUGUUCCCCAUUCAGCUGUUGGAUCUAUAGGUUUAUUAGAAUCCUUGCCACAGAAUCCAGAUUAUCUUCAGUAUUCUAUUAAUACAGCUCUCUGCAGUUUAAACUCAGUGGUACAUAAAGAAGAUGAUGAACCCAAAAUGAUGGACACUGUAUAAUUUGGUUAAGACUGCUGAAGCCAAGUGCUAUUUUGUUACAAGAAAGGAAGAACUUGGCUAUUUUCUCGACACUUUUAUGGCCCAAGGACUUCUUUUAAAAGGUGAAGAAUCUGUAGAGCUAAUUGCCUCAAACUGCCAGCUACCUAUUUCUAAGAAUUUCAUGAUCCUUAUUGAGAAUGGACACAGAAGAAAAAUCCUCAGUUUCACAGAAAUUGAACCAUCACAGUAACUUGAACCAUUGCUCAACUUUUCCCCAGGACUUACCUGUAAGCACCCAAAUUGUUUUUAUUUCAUUUUGCCUACUUUAGAGGUAUUAAUGACUAAAGAUAGGGAGGAAAGAAGUUACCAGCAAACUGAGUGAAUAAUUCUGAAGGGUUUCUUUUGGUUUUGUGUCUUAAAAUAGGAAUUAUUGAAGAACAGUUUAAAAUUUGGCUAUAUAUAUGUCUUCACUUAACAAAGGGAAGUGUUCCAUAUAUUGAACGUGAAAGUAUGGCUAGAUUUAUUUUGGGAUCCUCUGACGCCAUAAUUUGCACUAUAUUUUUAGCAGUACUUCAGUAUUGAACAGUAAAUUGACAUUCUUAUUUUUCUUUAUCUUGCUUCAGCAAUAAGAACUCUUACAAGAAUUAUCUCUUAAAUAAGAAGGGUAUACUAAGCAAGUGCAUAAUUCAUAGUUCAGAUUGGAUGAUUUAAUCUAAAUAAACUAUGCAAACUGGAGAGUCAAAACAAGACAUCUUUGACAUCAAAUAGCUAUACCUACAUUUAAUCCCUGUUAAUUCAAUGUUACUUAUCUAUGGUAGUGGAGAUUAAUACUGAUUGUAAAUUUUUCUUUAGGAUAAAUGGUAACAUUCUCAUCCAGUUAUAUUAUUAGUGUACUCUGAAAUUUUGUCUAAUCAGUCCGUCAUCUUAAAACUUUUUUUAGGAAAAUGGGUCUCCUUUCAGCUUUUCUGUUACCUUUCUAAAAUGAGUUGACAUGCUGCCCAAGGAUCAUAAAUCUAGUUAACUAUAUUUUCUUAUAGGGUGAAGAAAUUGCUUGUGGGUUUAGACAAAACAAACGUGAAGUUAACCUUGGUAUAUUUUCAGAGAAAAAUAAAAAAAUGUCAAUUUACUGUUCUUAAAGUCAGCCUUGUAUUUGAUGUGAAACAAAUGUACUUGUCUGGAUUGAGGUCAGGCUUUUUAUUUCAACUUUGCCACUAUAUUAUUUAUAAUGCAUCUUUUGCAUCCAUUUCCCAUCUUUAUUGGACAUGUAUGUACUAUUUCACAGGUCUUUUGAGAAGCUGAUUCAUCUAAUAUUUGCUUGCUUACCAUGUAAGCUAAUGCACAGGAGAGGGUACAAAGAAUAAAAUUUGAUAAUGAAUUGCUUACCAUCAAUAGUAAAGUCAAAACCAUUCUCAAAGCCUUGAAGAAUUAGACUUGAAGUUUGAUCCUAAGUUUGAAAAUGAUAAAAAUUCCCUUAAUCUUUCACUUGGUUUCUCUAAAUAGCAUGAUGACUCAUGCUAUUUACUCUUCAAACACUUAAUUUAGAGUCCUUUGGUAAAAUAUGGCACAUUGCCAGAUUAAUUUAUACUAUGGUAAAAUCCUUCUACAAUGUAAUUAGAUAUAAUUUAACUUUACUCAUAUAUAUACAUAUAUGUUCAUUAGUGAGCUAAAAAUAAAAAGGCAGAAGGAGGUGUGAAUGGUACAAACUAUAUUGACUGUUACUAUUGAUAGAGACUAAGUACAGGUAGGCUAUGUUUAGCAUUUUAACAUUUUUACACUCUUAAUUUCCAAAAUCAAAAUCUUGAAUUGCAAACAUAGAAGAAAGCUGUUUCUGCAGUUUACCAGUAUCUGGGAAUACUUUCUGUCAAUGAGAAGUCACAACUUAUUAAACAUGUUAGAAAAUACAAAUUUAUUCUUGCUGUUGGUUGUAAAUAUUACAGUAACUUACUAUAACCUGAGGUCUGUAAUUGCCAUGAUUGUUCUUAACAUAGGUAAGUUCUGCCACAAAUUCUUGAGUGUCCAAGAUAUUUUAUUUUGCUAUAAUUGAUUGUUAAAAGCUGAGGAAGGUAGGCUGUGAGCUAGGGUUUAAAAUUUUGAGUCAGUAUUUAACCUAUUUCAAAUGGGAUAGAAAAUUUCUUGAUGGUACUGCCAAUUUGCAUUUCCCACAGCACACUCUGCUUAUGAAAGGUGUUCCAAAAUAACUGUAAUACUCUAGAAAAUAGGGCAGUGGGUUGAGGUGCUGUUCUCAUUAGCCUUUCAAAUAUGGUAGCCUCUCCUAGCCAUAACAGUUAGUUCCAGAAAUAAUCCCAUGUGGCAUGUAAAUCAUGGCAGCAUUUUUUAUAUUUUUGUUUUUUUAAGCAGGAUGCCUUCAGCAAUGACAUUCUUAACUCAUUAAGCACGAAACACGUUCUAUUUUUGUUUGUUUUAAUAAAGUAUUGUAUCUGUAAAACUUGGGUUAAGUGUUUUGGGGGUGGGAAGGUGUAAUGGCAGGAAGACCACAGGGCAGGAUCUCUAUGAUCCGAGCAGAACAGGAAAGGAAGGAGUCCUGGAGCCCUCGCUGGCUUUUUCACGCUUUUAUUGGCAUUUACCAGGUACACAGCAGGUCGGAGUGCUGGGGGGCCAGGAGGUUGGCAGGCCUCCUCGCCCCCCAUGAAUCUUCACUCUUUCUGGGCUCUCCAGCAUUCUCUCGUGGUUCAUUCUCUCUCUUCUGCCGGUACUCUCCUUGUCAUGGUUCUGUUCUUCUGGUGUCCCCGUGAAGCUGCCCUUUUUUUUAAGCCCAUUCUCAGCCCAGGUGUACCCACCUUCUUAUGCCCACACCCUACUCCAGGUAUCUGCCAUCAGGCACAGACUCAGGACCGCAGGGAUCCAUCAUCAAUCCUAAUGGUGGGAGGGCAGAAAAGCCUGAUACUUUACUUACCCUACAGAAGAGAAUAGUCACAUGAAAGAGGAAUCUUAAGUUUCAUAGCUAUGUGCGUAAUUUCCAAAUCCCCUAAGAAUGUCAAGAAGGCCAGUAGGGCUACAAUACUACAGCAGGAGAUAAAAGAUAAAAGCAUAAAAUGAAACCAGCUUGUAUACUAUUUUAAGGUAAUUAUUAGAAAGCAGUCACUAAUUCAGAAGCCAGUGAGACAUCACGGCUGCAGAACAGAAUGUGGGGUGGAGUGAGCCCUGUGAAAUACCAAAAACCCAGUAAUAUCCACAGUUCUGAAAUUUA
Molecule: RNA transcript, 4300 nt
Organism: Talpa occidentalis (Iberian mole)
Lineage: Eukaryota; Metazoa; Chordata; Mammalia; Eulipotyphla; Talpidae
Gene: CDC37L1
Gene name: cell division cycle 37 like 1, HSP90 cochaperone
Exons: 9
Source: RefSeq, a predicted model, not a curated record